Molecule: transfer RNA, 74 nt
Filed under: uncultured marine phage
Description: tRNA-Ala
Source: RNAcentral
GGAGUAGCAUGUUCCAUGGCGGCGAUGGAGGUUUGCACCUUUCAUGUGAUGAGUUCGAUUCUCAUCUAUUCCAC